UACGGGGGGGGCAAGCGUUGUUCGGAAUUACUGGGCGUAAAGGGCUCGUAGGCGGCCCACUAAGUCCGACGUGAAAUCCCCAGGCUUAACUUGGGAACUGCGUCGGAUACUGGUGGGCUUGAAUCCGGGAGAGGGAUGCGGAAUUCCAGGUGUAGCGGUGAAAUGCGUAGAUAUCUGGAGGAACACCGGUGGCGAAGGCGGCAUCCUGGACCGGCAUUGACGCUGAGGUGCGAAAGCGUGGGGAGCAAACAGG
This 253-nucleotide ribosomal RNA is filed under the name uncultured bacterium. RNAcentral describes it as "partial 16S ribosomal RNA". It matches the Rfam family "Bacterial small subunit ribosomal RNA", at positions 524 to 776 of the family's 1533-position model. The record is from RNAcentral.